AGUAAUCGCGGAUCAGCAUGCCGCGGUGAAUACGUUCCCAGGCCUUGUACACACCGCCCGUCACACCAUGGGAGUUGGAUUCACCCGAAGGCAGUGCGCUAACCGCAAGGAGGCAGC
This 117-nucleotide ribosomal RNA is filed under the name Mucilaginibacter sp. S3H30. RNAcentral's name for it is "partial 16S ribosomal RNA". It matches the Rfam family "Bacterial small subunit ribosomal RNA", at positions 1337 to 1453 of the family's 1533-position model. Lineage: Bacteria; Pseudomonadati; Bacteroidota; Sphingobacteriia; Sphingobacteriales; Sphingobacteriaceae. The record is from RNAcentral.